Molecule: ribosomal RNA, 497 nt
Filed under: uncultured bacterium
Lineage: Bacteria
Description: partial 16S ribosomal RNA
Rfam family: Bacterial small subunit ribosomal RNA
Source: RNAcentral
GAUGAACGCUGGCGGCGUGCCUAAUACAUGCAAGUCGAGCGAACAGACGAGGAGCUUGCUCCUUUGACGUUAGCGGCGGACGGGUGAGUAACACGUGGGUAACCUACCUAUAAGACUGGGAUAACUUCGGGAAACCGGAGCUAAUACCGGAUAAUAUUUCGAACCGCAUGGUUCGAUAGUGAAAGAUGGCUCUGCUAUCACUUAUCGAUGGACCUGCGCCGUAUUAGCUAGUUGGUAAGGUAACGGCUUACCAAGGCAACGAUACGUAGCCGACCUGAGAGGGUGAUCGGCCACACUGGAACUGAGACACGGUCCAGACUCCUACGGGAGGCAGCAGUAGGGAAUCUUCCGCAAUGGGCGAAAGCCUGACGGAGCAACGCCGCGUGAGUGAUGAAGGUCUUCGGAUCGUAAAACUCUGUUAUUAGGGAAGAACAAACGUGUAAGUAACUGUGCACGUCUUGACGGUACCUAAUCAGAAAGCCACGGCUAACUACGUG